This is a long non-coding RNA of Bombus pyrosoma, 394 nucleotides long. RefSeq lists it as uncharacterized. NCBI's taxonomy places the organism in Eukaryota, Metazoa, Arthropoda, Insecta, Hymenoptera, Apidae. The record is from RefSeq and is a predicted model, not a curated record. The transcript is spliced from 3 exons.
UGUAAAUGUUGUUUUAUAAGAUCUUCUUGGCUUAUGAAUGGCACAAUAAUAUUUAAGUCCACUGCUGACCUAAAAUACAUAUAUACAUUGUAAAUGUAUACAAGCUGAUAAUAUAAUAAUAUCGGCACCGGUACGAAAAAGAACACAGCAAGUUUAAAUCCUGAGGUAUAAAGUAUCUCAUAUGCGGAGACAAAUCAACAAAAGGAUCAUUAUCGUUUUCAAAAUUGUCAAAUUCUUUUAAUCUGCAAAAUAUAAAAAGAUAAAUUAAAUACUGUAGGAAAUACUGCGUCACGGAAAUCGCCAAUAUUUACGAAAUUAUACUGUUCUAAAUUUUUAAGAGAUAAACUAUUGUUAAAUCUUUGUGUGAUUAAUGCACGCAUUAUUGGAGUAUCUA